RNAcentral lists this ribosomal RNA (583 nucleotides) under uncultured bacterium. Its description in RNAcentral is "bacterial SSU rRNA". It matches the Rfam family "Bacterial small subunit ribosomal RNA", at positions 338 to 916 of the family's 1533-position model. The record is from RNAcentral.
CCUACGGGAGGCAGCAGUGGGGAAUUUUGGACAAUGGGCGCAAGCCUGAUCCAGCAAUGCCGCGUGAGUGAAGAAGGCCUUCGGGUUGUAAAGCUCUUUUGUCAGGGAAGAAACGGUGGGAGCUAAUAUCUCCUGCUAAUGACGGUACCUGAAGAAUAAGCACCGGCUAACUACGUGCCAGCAGCCGCGGUAAUACGUAGGGUGCAAGCGUUAAUCGGAAUUACUGGGCGUAAAGCGUGCGCAGGCGGUUUUGUAAGACUGUCGUGAAAUCCCCGGGCUCAACCUGGGAAUGGCGAUGGUGACUGCAAGGCUAGAGUUUGGCAGAGGGGGGUAGAAUUCCACGUGUAGCAGUGAAAUGCGUAGAUAUGUGGAGGAACACCGAUGGCGAAGGCAGCCCCCUGGGUCAAAACUGACGCUCAUGCACGAAAGCGUGGGGAGCAAACAGGAUUAGAUACCCUGGUAGUCCACGCCCUAAACGAUGUCUACUAGUUGUCGGGUCUUAAUUGACUUGGUAACGCAGCUAACGCGUGAAGUAGACCGCCUGGGGAUCGGUCGCAAGNUUAAAACUCAAAUGAAUUGACGG